AAGAGUUUUGUUAAAUUAUUUGUCUCUAUAAGUCUUAAGCAUUUUUGUUUUUCUCCCUAGGUAACAUCUCCAAGAACAAAGAAGGAAAUGUUUCCAUUCACUGAAAAAUCUGGUCUCUGCCACUUGGAAGACUGACAGAGGAAGAGCUUCAGGAGGAAAUGUCUUCCUCAUUGGAUGAUUGGGAGAAAACUGGCACCCCAAAUCAGGUGGUUUUGGCCUAAGGAAAUGAGCCAGAAGCCACAUGCAUCUUUUCAUCGGAUCACCAGCAGGUUGCUUCUGAAGACACCUCCGGGCAGGUUGGACACUGCGCGGACCCUCACAGCCUGGGGCAACUGGCUGGUGCUCCUGCCGCGAAGUGAGCCAACACAAACCCAGAAUUACAAACUUCAUCACACGCAAGUGGUCCAGGCAGCAGCUGUUAAAAAUGGCACAGCUAUGAACAAGUGUAAUAGGAAGGACUGAUUGGAUCAUGGUGUGAUAUCAGAGGUCCCGGGACAUGCUACCUUCCAGAAAUGACAGAGACAUUACAAG
This 531-nucleotide long non-coding RNA is filed under the name Felis catus (domestic cat). RNAcentral describes it as "lncRNA (ENSFCAG00000045698.2)". The record is from RNAcentral. Lineage: Eukaryota; Metazoa; Chordata; Mammalia; Carnivora; Felidae.